Ictalurus punctatus (channel catfish) is the source of this 2034-nucleotide long non-coding RNA. NCBI's taxonomy places the organism in Eukaryota, Metazoa, Chordata, Actinopteri, Siluriformes, Ictaluridae. The record is from Ensembl.
CAGUGCUGCCAUAACCCGCACGCCUCGCGUUUCAAUCACUCUGUCCGCCUUUUGUCUCGACCCUGCGGCCCGUUACUUUGACAGUGGGCUUCUAACCGAGCAAGCUUCAAAGCUAGAAAAAGGGAAAGUGUGGUCAUUAAUGAAGUGCUAUGUUUUCAAAGCCAGACGCUUGAACGUAAGUGCUUGGAUGUGAUGGUGCUUGGAUGAUGAUGAAAGACAGUGGUUUCACCCUCCCACCAAACUGACCCUAAAUCCACAUAAGAGGUUAGUUAAAGUUCAUGACAGUAAGUUUGUUCACAAUAUGUGUAUAGGGCUUUGGAGCCUUGCAUUUUUGCAGUCUUUAAAUACCAAAUAUUUUAAAUAUGGUUGCACUGUCUCUAGUUAUUCAUUUCCUGUAUGCUUAUGAGAAUAAGAGACUAAUACUGCAUGUUUUUGUAGAAAAAAAAUACUAGUGUUUAAAUCUGUAAAAGAAGAGGCUUAGUCGUGACUCCAUGAAGGGACUGUGCUUUCUUAUUUCAUCCUUUUUUUUUUCUUGUUUGGCAAAUGUCUUGAUAUGCCUUUGCAUUCAAAAGGCCAUUUCUUUUAAUUGAUGUAAAUAUUCCCUUCUGGAGUUUUAUAUGAAUGGGUCUGUCUGUAUGAUGAUCUCCAUUUGUACAGUAUGGCUUUUCCUGCAUAUCCAGAGAGAGGAAGACCUGUGCAAACGCAUGAGCUACCCGGAAAGGAUGCUGGGAAGACUGUAUGACAAUCCUGCACCCCUUCCCUCUCAUUUCCUUCAGAAUUUUUAUUUUUUUUACCAGUGUUGUGCUACCUAUCUCUUUCAUCUCUCUCUUAUUUACAGUCUCAGUUUUCUCAGUCCUCAUCUGUCCCUGCUGCUCCUCUCAGUCCGUUCAUGCAGAAGGGAAGGGAUGGAGCGAAGGGAGGCUCUGAAGGUGAGAAGCCGCUGAAGGGUGGUAGAGCAGCGAUUCUCUGCAGGUGUGGAAAGAAAGUGGGCGAUUUGGGCGCGUGGUCCAGGCGUGGCCCCUCAGCAUGGGCAGUGGGCAGCUCCGGAGGGGCGUAGCGAAUGGUGCUUGGAGCGUAAAGGCUCUGAGGCCCUGGAGGGCCGAGAGCAAGAGGGUGGAACAGUACACGCCCGGCUGCUCCACCCGCAGCUAGUCUCUGAAGAAGCUCGUAAUCAGGCGUGCGGCCUCCGUGGAGGCGAUCCUCCCUAGGCAGGGGUGAAGCUGAGAUGGGUGAAGGAGGGCUGAAGAGACCUUUAGCUGGAGCUUCUGUAGUGACUGACUCGGAAUCUUGGGAUGGGGGGCUGCUGCCAUUUAUACCCCUGGCGGACUGAGUGUUGCUCCAUCGCCCUCCAGUGGUUGAACAAACUCCAGUGCUCAACAUCUCCUGCUCAGUUUUAACAUUAGAGCUGGAGGUGCUGGUCACCACACUCUUCAGCUGCUGGAUUACAGCACGACCAUUACGCACUUUCCCAGUUUCACUGUUCUUCUUAGAGGCUCCCGCAUCGGUCUUCAGUCUCUUGCCAUUGUGCUCCCACUCCUCUUCCUUGUCCUCCUCUUCGUCUUCUUCAGCUUCACUGUCACUGGCUGAGUCCGAGGAGCCUGACAGGCUGUCCUCUCUAUGCCGGAAGACCUCGAGUUGUUGUCUCCUUGUUUGUGGAGGUGUGUUUUCAGGGCUGGAGUGGUAAGGCCUCUUCCUCCUGUUAUCUGAAUGGUUAGCAGUAAUGUGAGUGCAAGAGUCUCUCCCUUUGCGCUCAGACUCAUUUCGUCCAACUCCGCCCUUCGUCGGCUGGGCACCAUUCGGGCCUGGAAAGCAGACAGAAUUGACAUAAUAUAGAAAAAUGCUGUGUUUAUGUACAACCCCACUUCUAAAAAAGUUGGGACAGUAUUUAAAGUGUUAAGUAAAAACAAAUAGGAUUGAUCUGUAAAUGUACUUUGACUUGUUUUUAAACAAAAAACGUAUAAAGAGAAGGUUUUUGAUGUUGUACCUAAUUGACUGCAUAGUUUUUUUUGAAGAUAAACGUUUAUUUUGUAAUUG